This 254-nucleotide ribosomal RNA is filed under the name uncultured bacterium. RNAcentral's name for it is "partial 16S ribosomal RNA". It matches the Rfam family "Bacterial small subunit ribosomal RNA", at positions 524 to 776 of the family's 1533-position model. The record is from RNAcentral.
UACGUAGGUGGCAAGCGUUGUCCGGAAUUAUUGGGCGUAAAGCGCGCGCAGGCGGCCUCUUAAGUCUGAUGUGAAAGCCCCCGGCUCAACCGGGGAGGGCCAUUGGAAACUGGGAGGCUUGAGUAUAGGAGAGAAGAGUGGAAUUCCAACGUGUAGCGGUGAAAUGCGUAGAGAUGUGGAGGAACACCAGUGGCGAAGGCGACUCUUUGGCCUAUAACUGACGCUGAGGCGCGAAAGCGUGGGGAGCAAACAGG